Molecule: long non-coding RNA, 925 nt
Organism: Mugil cephalus (flathead mullet)
Lineage: Eukaryota; Metazoa; Chordata; Actinopteri; Mugiliformes; Mugilidae
Exons: 3
Source: RefSeq, a predicted model, not a curated record
CCUGCAGGUUCACCACCACCACCACCACCAAAGGAUGUCUCCUCAGCUAGUGGUGAACCUUGGCAUCAACCUCUGAUGUAUCCAGCCCCAUCACAAGCCCCACAAAAAGAAAAGUGUCACCACCUGGACGCACACUGUUUCUCCUGUGUCUCUUCCUCCUUCUCCUGUUCCUGUAUCAAGCUUCUUCCAUUCUGCCUCCACUGCUACAGCUGAACCCCCUCUGCUCCUCUCACCUUGCCAUUGCCUAAAACUGUGGGGAUCGUACCUGUUUCAGAUGCUGCCUGGCUGCCCACAAAGCUGCUAAAGACAUUUCAGCAGCCCUGUGGAAAGACCAGCGUCUUUUCAAAGACCUGAAACUGUGGUAUGAUCCACCAGAGUCCUCCCUCAUAUACCAUCAGGUCCUCACUCCUGAGCGCUUCUUCCACCAUGACUUUUCUCAUGGAAAAAACAUGGUGUGACAUUCUUUGUCAAUAUGUAUAUAAUGUAAAUAGUUUUAAAAGAAAAAAGUCUUAAUUUGCUGCUGUUCUAUUUUGUUUUUUAACUUUAACACACGUGUUUGUGAGUGUGUGUGUGAAAUUUGUAAUAAAUUUGUUACAUUUCAGUGACUGUCUUCAUUUUUUACUGCAAAAAUGCAAACUCACUCAUAGAAAACGAUAACAUUGUUGCAGUACUUCAUUCAGAAAUAUAAAAAUGACUAUAAAAGUACAUUUAGGUACAUGUGAUAACACUUGGUAGUAGUCUGUGUUAAAGGCCUCAUGUUCCAACGGUGGAAUCGAACCGGCGACCUUUGGGUCAAGAGCCUCCUAUGCUUUUCUGCAGUUAAGUGUCAUAUUUGGUUAAAUUUCUCAAAUUAAUAGACCAGAAUAUGUGUGAUUUUACUUGUGAUGGACAGUAGAGACACUAAUAACUACAGGCUCCUUCCAUU